Molecule: long non-coding RNA, 2294 nt
Organism: Rhincodon typus (whale shark)
Lineage: Eukaryota; Metazoa; Chordata; Chondrichthyes; Orectolobiformes; Rhincodontidae
Exons: 3
Source: RefSeq, a predicted model, not a curated record
AGGAAGGCUCUUCCUCACUCCAAGCACCGAAAACCAGUUGGAAAGGGAAACUGGACAACAAAAGCAUACUCUCUCUCAGCCUGAAUUCUUGAAUUAAACCUUGGUCAAAAGGGAUCAGAGUCACUGAAACUCAACCAAUCUGCAAAACUAAGGAUUUUUAAACCGAUUGGGAAACUACCGAGGUCAACACUACUGGUAAACUCCACUGCUACUGCUCAACUCAUCAAAACUCGCUUAUUUCUGAGUUUAUAUCAUAUAAAAGAUAAUAAGCUGUUUGAAGAAAGAAUAUCAUUUAUGAAAACACCGCAGAAAUGUUUCGAUUGGUUAUCUUUGGACCAUUUACUAGAUUCCGGCUUGCAGCCUGUACACUUUGAUGGUUACAAAAAGGGGCCCAGGAUGAUUUCUCACAUUUCAACACAUGUUUGGUCUUUUGGGAUAUGAUGAAUUGACCUUUGCUACAACUACCGGCAAUGAGACAUCAGGACCAUGUCUGAGUGCUGACUCAGCUCCACAUCCUAUCGUGCCUACCAACCAACCUUUACAGGAAGCAGCUAUCUCAUAGGUCACCACCACUUUUACCAUGUUAGACAUUAGCGAUGGAGGCUGGGUAAUGCAAGACACAUUCCCCAACGUGACCAGUCGAAAUUCUGAGGAGGCCUAGUAUGCAGGAGCAGUAGACAAACCCUACAGUUGCUGAUAGCAACGGGGACGAGAGGGCUAGUGGCUGAGACCUCACGAGACACAUGCCGAUCAGAGACAAUUGACCCUAGGAAUUGUACGGUCAAUAAUAACAAAGUUGUGAGGUGGAUGGGCAGCAACCUUGCCAUUUAUUGUUGACAUAAUUUAAAGAUCCUUCAACCUCCACCUUUCACUGUGCAAGUCCCUCCUUCAAUGUGCUGGUGUAUGGAACAGUUCAGGCAACACCAAUUGUGAUUAAUAUGUGGUAAUAGUAUUAUAUACUUUAUAAGGAAAGCUAAUGUGUCUUUAAAGUGACCUGAAGGAAUCUUAUAAAAUAGCUCCCAGAAGUCACAUGACUACCCAGGUCAGUGAUUUUGCAAAUUCCCUGGAAGUUAAUGUAAAAUUUUUAGUUUAAGGCUGCAGCAGUUCAGAAGCUACUAUCUGGGGAGGAAAAUGUAAUGGAUACAAUUGCUAUGAUCACUGUUAAAUUUAGAUCUGAGAUACUGUAAGAAGGAUUUCAUACGGAACUGACUGAUUAAAAUCUUGCACCUCAUGUAUAUGCAAUGGAAGCACAUUAGCUGUGACAUCACUACUCAAUGGAAGGUUUGUUUAGGGUGAUGGUUUGUUGAAUGUAGAAGUGUAUCAGUUCAUGUGAAGAGAACUUUUAUUAUUAAGUUAUACCUAAUGUCAUGAGUCAGUUCAAAUGUUGUGUCUAAGAAAUAAAUGCUUUCCUUACGUAUUGUUGCUUUAAACUUAACAAAGGAUUAAUAAUUAUUUAGCAUUUUGGUGAAUUCUUCUAAUUCUGCUUCCGUGUGACUCCAAAUAUAUUAACACAAAUACAAAAGAUAUUGUAAUCACAUAACUGUAUGACCUAACUAACGUGUUCAUGAGAAUGAUGAAGGAGCUCUUAAAGCCAAAAUGUGGCCACAAAAUCAAAACUAGUCUUCAAGAAAAUCUCAAGAGCCCUCAGAAAAGAAUAUUUCCUGGCCUGCCCAUACCUAGGCUAACAAAAUAACUAAUUUGUAAGUCUGACACAACAGUUUGUGGAUGGCAGUCAUUUUAAAUUUGGAUUUGUAAAAAAAAAAAAUCCGUGAGACCAUGAGAGAAUCUGCUUGAAGCAGUCAAUAGCGAGGUCAAGAGGGGGAUAUCCAGUCCUGCUGCACCAAACCAGGCUCCUGGGAGACACAGCCUGCUCUAAAUUCAAAACAUAGGAAUCUUCACUCAUUCCCAGAUCUAGUUCUGCUCAGUCCAUCUGUGGGAGCAAGCUCUGACUAUUUGAGUACAAAAACCAACAAAACUGGUAAAUUUUGGCUUUAAGUUUGCAACCCCUUCAGUUCAGAAAGAGAAUCUUCAAGCAAGCCAAGCCUGCAAAGACAGCAGAGACGAAUCUCAUUUUCAUAUACAAUUUUAUCCUUACUUUGUAUUUUUGUGAUUAACUUUAUUGAUUCGGGUGGCACGGUGGCUCAGUGGUUAGAACUGCUGCCUCACAGUACUAGGGAACUGGUCUGUCCAGUCUUGGGGACCAAGUUUGCACAUUCCCCCUGUUUCUGCUGGCUGCUCUGGUUUUCUCCCACAGUCCAAAGAUGUGCAGGUUGGAUGAAUUGGCCAUGCUAAAU